UUUCCUGAUUCUAUAGGACAGCGUUGUGCUAAAAAGCUAGAUUCAACAAUACAGAUGGAAUAAAGUCACUUUAGGGCAGAGUGGAGUAAGACAGAAGGUAGCUGGAUUCCUGGGCAAGCACAGGACAACACCUCUCACCAGAUCUUGAAGAAAACCAUUCUUCUGGAGCAAUACACAAUAUUGUAGACUGCAUACAAUAUAAGGGAGGAAAAGAGGCUUAUCCUUCCCUUUUGUUCUGGUUGCUUUUGCUAUCUUCCACCACUAUGAACUGCUGCCCCUCUGCUGCUUCACCCUCCCGAUUAUGGACUGAAACCUCCACAAACUGUAAGCUAAAUAAACCUCUCCUUCUCCAACUUUGAGUGUCAGGUAUUUUGACUCAAC
This 381-nucleotide long non-coding RNA is filed under the name Chinchilla lanigera (long-tailed chinchilla). RNAcentral's name for it is "lncRNA (ENSCLAG00000028959.1)". The record is from RNAcentral. Lineage: Eukaryota; Metazoa; Chordata; Mammalia; Rodentia; Chinchillidae.